RNAcentral lists this ribosomal RNA (330 nucleotides) under Corbicula moltkiana. Its description in RNAcentral is "partial 28S ribosomal RNA". Lineage: Eukaryota; Metazoa; Mollusca; Bivalvia; Venerida; Cyrenidae. The record is from RNAcentral.
AGUCCUGCCACCCCACGGAGCUCCCCAAGUUCGGAUCCGCAAGGACCGGGCCAGCGGGACGUCCGCGUGGCAGGGUGCACUUUCUCCGCGGUCGAGUGCUACGACCGGUUUCGCGGCGGUCAGAAGCCCGGCGGAAAGGUAGCGCCGCCCCUCGGGGUGUCGUGUUAUAGGCCGCCGCGGUGGACUCGCCGCGAGACCGAGGACGCUUGCCGCGCCGAGCGGUCCCGGGCCGUCUUGGGAGGUUCGACCUCGGCUGCACUGCUCCGCAGAGCACCGUAACCGCCGCCCUAGCACGGGUCCGGAGACUGCCGGCGCCUCGGGUCAGUAGCG